Molecule: long non-coding RNA, 4947 nt
Organism: Xenopus laevis (African clawed frog)
Lineage: Eukaryota; Metazoa; Chordata; Amphibia; Anura; Pipidae
Exons: 3
Source: RefSeq, a predicted model, not a curated record
UUGAUUUGACAAAGAACACAACACAAGUAUUGUUGUGCUUUGGUGCUCAGAUACAAGCAGAGACUCCACAGUGAAAACAGUUUGUAUGCAGUGGCAAAGUAAAGACCUUCACUGUGCACUGCUGAUUUAUCUCUUUAGGAUAAGGGACUGCUUUAUGGAAAUGCAAGGAAGUAUCAGCUACCGGCAUCCACCUCCAGGCAUUCUUUGAGUUAUAGAUAAACAACAGCUGCAAAACUCUAGGUUACAUUACGAACAAUGAGCUUCACCACAACCAUUUUGUUUGCCCUGGCCUCUAACUAGGGUUGCCACCUUUUCUGGAAAAAAAUACCGGGCUUCCUAUUUAUUUAUCUUUUUUCUCUAUUAAUAACAUUGGGAUCAGCCAUCAUUUUUACCGGCCAGGCCAAUAAAAUAACGGCCAGCUGGUAACUCUAGCUCCAACACAUGCAGGUAACAGCACUGUUUGAAAUAGAGUAACUGAAUAAAUAGAGCUUCCAGAAUAUCAUCCUAAAACAGAGUAGCUAAGAGAAUGUGGAAAAGAAAGGUUUCUUCUUUGUACAGGAAAUGUACAAUAAAAGAGUUAGCUGGAGGCAGCCAGAGUUGAAAUUUCAAAACAAGCUUCCCAGCUGGAAAACAGUGCAGCUAAGGGCCUCAAGGUGUGGCAUCCAGGAACACUUAUUUUACCCCUUUUAUCUCUUUAGUUUAUAUUUUUAUUUGAUAAACAGUUCCCCUGAAGGAAGAACGUCUCAAGUAGUGGCUAAAUCAAUGUCAGAUGUCUUAUUAUUUGCUUUAAUAAUCCAUAUCCUUCAGAUGUUUCAGUUGAGACCAUAUGAGUCUUAAAUUUUGUGCAAGCUUCCCUAAUCCCCACCGUUUUCUAUACUCUGUGCUAUAUAAUAAGAAAACAAACUACAGUAUAAAGUUGUUGUUUGAUAGUCUUUCAGAUAUAAUUUAUGCAAUAGCACAGUAAAUGUCCUGGAAAUGACAGGACAAACAAGGCUUUAUAUGGCAAGCAGGGCUAUGGUGAAGCUUAGUUCACAUCUGAAAACACUAGAAUUGUUGUACUAGGCAGUGUACAGAUUUCUUGUACUCCAAGGGUACAAGAAUUUUAGUGAAUGCAGAGGAGCUGGAAAGGUCAGCAGCUGAUGACAACAUGCUAACAUGAAUCAAUGUUUCAUUCACUACUUUCUACAAAGAAAAGAGGCUAUUAGUCCGCUGAGACCAAGGGUACAGCAACAGAAACAGCUACCUGAUUGCUGAAGCAGCCAUAUACAGUUGAAAUUCCAUGACUGAGUCUCAGAACCAAAAUAUAAACAUAUGUAGGGAACAUGAGGAAUCCUUCCCAUUUGUCUGCCUGUGACAUCAUCCAGCCCAGUUGCAUGCUGGAUAGCGAUCAGAUGCCAAGCGGCUAGAAACUCAGAAGGAGAAAGGUGCCACUAGUGAAAUUGAUUCUGCUGCAGAACUGCGUGUGAUCUCCAGUGUGAUUUCCUCUGAGAGCACCCCGGUGAGUGAGCCACCCAAGGAAGGAUAUUGGCACGGAUACAAGUCUAGACAUGUCUUAAAGUGAAGACAUGUCUUAAAUAUUUACCUGCUACGAGGGAGCUGCUGCCAACUUCAAAAGGGAGAGGUACUUUUGGGGAAUAAGGUGGCACUACCUGGGAAAUAAUAGCUCUGGGGAAGGGAUAAUCAUUUGAACUGUGUGGAUUGGGACUGUGAUAUUUGAUAAUCAUUUGAACUGUGUGAUUGGGACUGUGAUAUUUACCAAGGACUGUGUAAAGCAACAGUUAAGCACCUAAUAGUGGUUUAGUUAGUGCCCCUCAUGUCCUCAGUGUCGGAGUGAAGUGCGUAUAAGUUGCCCCAGUGUUAAACUGUUUAUAUAAAGUAUAUAUUUGUUCAUUUGCAAACUGUGUGUUAUAUUAUUCAUAGUGGAACCCCUCUGAGGUGUUUUCCUCAGUGUUCACUAGGUGGAGGCACUGCCCUGUAAUUCCCAGUUCCCAGUACUUUUCAUAUGCAAAAGGGACUCAGGGCCCCUGGAUUUCCAAGGGUAAAUUGCUAUUUAAAGAGACAGUAACCAAAUUAGUGUUCUACAUAUUUCAAAAAUGAUCUUACAAUACUGCUGUCUACGAAAGAGUAAGGGUGCUGACUUGCAGGGAGGGGAAUCAUUGUGUGGGAAAUCUCCUGUCCUGUCGGCAAUAAGCAUCUGACAAUAACUGCCCCCUUACAUUAGGUGGAAUUGAUGCACAUAUAACACAUUGGAUGCAGCAAUCUUGGCAAUCGCUAAAAAUGGCUCAUUCUGAAUUUUCAAGUGAUUACCCAAGAUCUUGUGGUAUUUACACUUUUAGGCUAGGGCCAGAUGAUGUAGACAAUUAUGGACUGUCAGCAGGCAUAGAAUCCACUGCCUUGCUGUUCCCCUUGUCUUCUGAAAAAUGCAAAAUGUUGUGUUUCAGUGCCGAAAUCCGCCACGUCUGCCUGUACCAGAGCAGAAUCAAUGCUUCCGGGUGCAGGCAGAGCAGGAAUGGAGGAGCAGUGGAGGCCGUCUUAAUGUGAAGGCACAGAUAAGGGGUCAACAAGCCAAGAGAUUGCACAGACAGUAUGGUGGAAUGAAGUGAGAAGUAUACCACAGUGAGCAGGAAAGGAGCACCUGGUGAGGUGAGCACAGAAUAUGAGGAAAAGCGAGACUGAAGUAUUGUAUAUUGGAUAAGGUUUUGCCUGAAUUUAAUUCUCUGGCCUGAAACAUUUAAUCCAGCCCCCCACACACCUUAUCACUACCUCUACUCACAUUUCCCUCCUCACCUCACAGCUGCUCAGGUCUAGAUGAAGGUCCUGGAUGUGAGUGUUUGAACAAAGUCCUUGUAGCAGAGCCCUAAAAAACAGAAGAUGAUGGGGAGGGAUGCAGAGAGCCAUAAGAAAAAGUUUAUCAUCUUAAAUGUCCCUAAUUAACAUUAAUUUCAGUUUUAAUACUGUAUAACUGAGACUUAAAGCAAUUUAAAGAGACUGCAAAACCAUUUAUGUAUUAUUUACAGUAAAUACUAUUAUUUGAUGUAGAUAAAACAGGUAAUGUUUAUUAGCACAAUCUUUCAGUGAUUGGAUUGGACCUGUAUUGGGUAAUUGGGUACCUGAUGGUAACUAAGUUGCAUAAAUCCAUGUCAUUGGCAAAACAAUCCUAUAGGGUAUUUUAAUGUCUAAACGAAUUUUAGCAGCUUUAAGGCUUUAAGGCUCCUAACAAUUUUUCACCUUACAUAUCCAUCUGUUUCUCUAGAUAUAUUCUUAAUGACCCUUUUGUUCCACCAAUUAUCUUUAACUUGCUUACUCUCAUACAUAAGGCGUCAUUUAUUAACACAAGUUCAGUGCGCAAUGUGUAAUUCUGAAUGCAAAUUGCUAUGUUUUUAACUCACCAUGCAGCAUUUUUUCAUAUAAUGCAGUGGUGCAACUGCAUGCACGUUGCAUUUUCCAGUUUCAUGUGUGCCACAGUUGUGCCAUCUGUUAAAAUGAAUUGUACUUCCAAGUUGCUCUUAGCCCCCUAGUGGGUGUUGAGUCACUUCGGAGCAGAUAUUCAAAAUGGCAUUUGCAACAAAUUCAAUUGGCACAAGGGAAGCGUGACUAGCCUUGCAAGACAUGAGUACAUGUGCACACUUGGUGACAGAGAAAUGGGUAGGACAGCAGGCCUCAUGUUAUAACCGACCCCCCCCCCCCAAAUCUUUGGCCACCUCACAGUCUGGUUUAUGUUAGUUACAUCUCUGAUUAAAGUAAAGUGAAAAAAAACACACACCAUGAUUGUUAGAUUAAGUAAUUCAUAGCAACCAAUUAGAUUCAUUGAUACAGGUUUCCAGAUACUAUAUACAGUAUUAUUAUAAAAAUAAGUCAAACAUGGAGCAGGGAUCAUGGGGCUGAGCGCCCUCAGUGACCGCCUUUUUAGCCUGUCCCACUGCUCCCCUAUUGUGCAUAAAUGGCACUAACCCCGUCUCUUGCAUGCCUCAGACAAGACCGGGCAGUCAAAGUCUGAUGCACACUCGUGCCACACUGACGCCAUCCAAUGGAAAAAAAAGGGAAGGGGCGACACCUAUCCUUUUCCAAUGGCCCAUCUACCCGGCCCUUGACCUCUACCAUUCCUCAAGAAACACCUUGAUGUUCCCAAUGAACAAACCCAAAUCUUCCCCUGAUAAAUGCACUCCGACUUCCCUAUACAGCUGUGUCUGUCUACAUUUUAUAUUUUCAUGCCUUAUCACACCCACACUGGAGGAACACAUGAAUUUCUGCAUGGCCUUGUUGACCUUCUUUCUCGCCUUCUGUAUGCCCUGGGGGGACAUGGCUCCCCCCCAAUUGCUCCUUUGUAUGAUAUCUGACCAUGCUAUACACUUGACUCUUCUGCUCCGUAACAUAUCUGUUAAAUCGGCCCUCAUGGCCUCAAUAAGGGCUGGGGUCUUAUGUGACGUAAGGUCCCCCCCAUGUAUAUAAAUAACAAAUGUAUGGGAUUCUGGCUUGAUGCCUCAAAGAACAUACCACUUAGCUGUUCCCAUAAAACACAAGUUAGUCUGUGUUGCCUCAACUGUACAUCCCCUUAAGAACGCUGCCAGACCAGCACGCCCCCCCUUGCCUCCUACCCCAGCCCGCCCCUCUUUUUCCCACCACUGCUAGACCCUCCAUUGUUCUUACCUGGGGCUGGGGGGAGGCAAAGCUACAAGGCUAUACCUGGGGGAAAGGGGCCCCGCCUAACCCCAUGUCAGCCCUAAACGUGCUUCAUUCCUCCUAGUUGCUCCACUCACCAGAAGGGCUGAGUCGGCAACUUAUUUGCCCGAGUACCGCCCGAGACCUUAACAGAAAAGCGAUUCUUCAAGUGUAUGGCCAGCUUAAAGGCAGAUGCACACCCGGACAGUGUCGGACUGGCCCACCGGGAUACCAGGAAAACUCGGUGGGCCCAGGUGUCAGUGGGCUCUUUUGCUUCUAACCAUUUAG